Molecule: ribosomal RNA, 460 nt
Filed under: uncultured bacterium
Lineage: Bacteria
Description: partial 16S ribosomal RNA
Rfam family: Bacterial small subunit ribosomal RNA
Source: RNAcentral
CCUACGGGAGGCAGCAGUGAGGAAUAUUGGUCAAUGGGCGCAAGCCUGAACCAGCCAAGCCGCGUGAAGGAAGACGGCCCUCCGGGUUGUAAACUUCUUUUGUACGGGGGUAAACUGAGGUACGCGUAUCUUUUUGUAUGUACGUUACGAAUAAGGAUCGGCUAACUCCGUGCCAGCAGCCGCGGUAAUACGGAGGAUCCGAGCGUUAUCCGGAUUUAUUGGGUUUAAAGGGGGCGUAGAUGGGUGGUUAAGUAAGUGGUGAAAUGCCGAGGCUCAACCUUAAAAUUGCACUUGAUACUGGUCGGCUUGAGUGCAGUUGCGGUAGGCGGAAUGCGUGGUGUAGCGGUGAAAUGCUUAGAGAUCACGAAGAACACCGAUUGCGAAGGCAGCUUACUAAGCUGCUACUGACGUUGAGGCACGAAAGCGUGGGGAGCAAACAGGAUUAGAUACCCGAGUAGUC